AACGUAGGUGGCAAGCGUUGUCCGGAAUUACUGGGUGUAAAGGGAGCGCAGGCGGAAUGGCAAGUAGAAUGUGAAAUCCAGGGGCUCAACCCCUGAACUGCGUUCAAAACUGCUGUUCUUGAGUGAUGUAGAGGUAGGCGGAAUUCCCGGUGUGGCGGUGGAAUGCGUAGAUAUCGGGAGGAACACCAGUGGCGAAGGCGGCCUACUGGGCAUUUACUGACGCUGAGGCUCGAAAGUAUGGGGAGCAACAGG
This 252-nucleotide ribosomal RNA is filed under the name uncultured bacterium. RNAcentral describes it as "partial 16S ribosomal RNA". It matches the Rfam family "Bacterial small subunit ribosomal RNA", at positions 524 to 775 of the family's 1533-position model. The record is from RNAcentral.